RNAcentral lists this unclassified non-coding RNA (839 nucleotides) under Hevea brasiliensis (rubber tree). Lineage: Eukaryota; Viridiplantae; Streptophyta; Magnoliopsida; Malpighiales; Euphorbiaceae. The record is from RNAcentral.
CUUUUUUUUUUUUUUUUUGUUAAAGCCGGUUUGAUUUAUUUUUGUAUUUUUAAUAAUUUAGUUUGCGGUUUUUUGGUCUAGUUCAGAACCAAACAAAUCGAAUGCUUACCCUUAUUUGUACAUUUAAGGAAAGAUUAUCACGAAUUAUUAAAGUUCAGAAAGAAAGAAAGAAAGAAAAUAAAACAAAGAGAAUAGUCCAACUUUAUUGUUCAAGAUUCCAAACUCCACUGAUGUUGAUUUUGAUUUGCUAAGUGUUGUUGAAGAGAGGAUUUUGUCAUUCUAAAUUCACCAACAAAUUUGAAAGGAGCUUCCAAGUAUUUUGAUUGCAACCUCCAAUUAAGGAGAAUUGAUAGGAAUAAAUUAGAUCUUUUUUGUAAUAAAGAUGUAGCUUAAGAAAUCAGGAUUUUCCUUUUUAAUUUUUCUUUAAACUUCUUUGCUUUAAAAUAGAAAUUUGAAUUUCUCCAACUACAAGAUAAAAGAUACAGAUUCAAGACCUCAAGACCUCAUUUAGCUUAACUCCAUGAUGCCAAAAAAAUCCAAAAUUUUCGGGUUUUUUACUGAAUUCUAUCCAACCAAGCAAAUUGAAGUCAUAAUUAAAAUAGAAACUAAUAUUUUAUUAUCAAUUAGAAUAAAAAAUUAAUUUUUAAUCAUAUUUUCCCUUUCUUCCCUCCCCUCUUUCCCUCACCCCUUUAUGCCUCAGUUUCUCCAUCUCAUCACCACCCCUCCCCCUUUCUCAAUUGCUAGUAUGAACCCAACUCCAAACUACACAAGAUUAUGGCUACUUCUUCUAUUGCUUCCUCUAGAAGUCUCUUUAUCUGCAUAUGCAUAUACAUAGAAAC